Molecule: ribosomal RNA, 429 nt
Filed under: Actinomycetes bacterium
Lineage: Bacteria; Bacillati; Actinomycetota; Actinomycetes
Description: Actinobacteria bacterium partial 16S ribosomal RNA
Rfam family: Bacterial small subunit ribosomal RNA
Source: RNAcentral
UAGGGAAUCUUCCGCAAUGGGCGAAAGCCUGACGGAGCAACGCCGCGUGAGUGAUGAAGGUCUUCGGAUCGUAAAACUCUGUUAUUAGGGAAGAACAAAUGUGUAAGUAACUAUGCACGUCUUGACGGUACCUAAUCAGAAAGCCACGGCUAACUACGUGCCAGCAGCCGCGGUAAUACGUAGGUGGCAAGCGUUAUCCGGAAUUAUUGGGCGUAAAACGCGCGUAGGCGGUUUUUUAAGUCUGAUGUGAAAGCCCACGGCUCAACCGUGGAGGGUCAUUGGAAACUGGAAAACUUGAGUGCAGAAGAGGAAAGUGGAAUUCCAUGUGUAGCGGUGAAAUGCGCAGAGAUAUGGAGGAACACCAGUGGCGAAGGCGACUUUCUGGUCUGUAACUGACGCUGAUGUGCGAAGGCGUGGGGAUCAAACAGG